This 779-nucleotide ribosomal RNA is filed under the name uncultured Actinopolymorpha sp. Its description in RNAcentral is "bacterial SSU rRNA". It matches the Rfam family "Bacterial small subunit ribosomal RNA", at positions 69 to 850 of the family's 1533-position model. The record is from RNAcentral. Lineage: Bacteria; Bacillati; Actinomycetota; Actinomycetes; Propionibacteriales; Actinopolymorphaceae.
AUUGAUGGGAGCUUGCUCCCUGAUAUCAGCGGCGGACGGGUGAGUAACACGUGGGCAACCUGCCUAUAAGACUGGGAUAACUUCGGGAAACCGGAGCUAAUACCGGAUAAUCCCUUUCCUCUCAUGAGGAAAGGCUGAAAGAUGGUUUACGCUAUCACUUAUAGAUGGGCUCGCGGCCUAUCAGCUUGUUGGUGGGGUGAUGGCCUACCAAGGCUUUUACGGGUAGCCGGCCUGAGAGGGCGACCGGCCACACUGGGACUGAGACACGGCCCAGACUCCUACGGGAGGCAGCAGUGGGGAAUAUUGCACAAUGGGCGGAAGCCUGAUGCAGCAACGCCGCGUGAGGGAUGACGGCCUUCGGGUUGUAAACCUCUUUCAGCACCGACGAAGCGGGAGUGACGGUAGGUGCAGAAGAAGCGCCGGCCAACUACGUGCCAGCAGCCGCGGUAACACGUAGGGCGCGAGCGUUGUCCGGAAUUAUUGGGCGUAAAGGGCUCGUAGGCGGUUUGUUGCGUCGAGAGUGAAAUCCCACGGCUUAACUGUGGGACUGCUUUCGAUACGGGCAGGCUAGAGGUAGGCAGGGGAGAGUGGAAUAUCCGGUGUAGCGGUGGAAUGCGCAGGUAUCGGAUGGAACACCGGUGGCGAAGGCGGCUCUCUGGGCCUUACCUGACGCUGAGGAGCGAAAGCGUGGGGAGCGAACAGGAUUAGAUACCCUGGUAGUCCACGCCGUAAACGUUGGGCGCUAGGUGUGGGGGACUUUCCACGUCCUCCGUGCCGCA